This 499-nucleotide ribosomal RNA is filed under the name uncultured bacterium. RNAcentral's name for it is "bacterial SSU rRNA". It matches the Rfam family "Bacterial small subunit ribosomal RNA", at positions 28 to 530 of the family's 1533-position model. The record is from RNAcentral.
GACAAACGCUGGCGGAAUGUAUUAGGCAUGCAAGUCGCACGAACCUUCGGGUUAGUGGCGGACGGGUGAGUAACACGUGGGUGAUCUGCCCUGCACUUCGGGAUAAGCUUGGGAAACUGGGUCUAAUACCGGAUAGGACCACGGUCUGCAUGGAUUGUGGUGGAAAGCUUUUGCGGUGUGGGAUGGGCCCGCGGCCUAUCAGCUUGUUGGUGGGGUGAUGGGCCUACCAAGGCGACGACGGGUAGCCGGCCUGAGAGGGUGUCCGGCCACACUGGGACUGAGACACGGCCCAGACUCCUACGGGAGGCAGCAGUGGGGAAUAUUGGACAAUGGGCGGCAAGCCUGAUCCAGCGAUGCCGCGUGUGUGAAGAAGGCCUGCGGGUUGUAAAGCACUUUUGGUGGAGACGAGGCUUAUUGGGGUAAAUAGCUUUGAUAGGUGACGGUAUCCACAGAAAAAGACACCGGCUAACUCUGUGCCAGCAGCCGCGGUAAUGUCGUC